GGACCUGAUGCAGCCAUGCCGCGUGUGUGAAGAAGGCCUUCGGGUUGUAAAGCACUUUCAGUUGUGAGGAAAAGUUAGUAGUUAAUACCUGCUAGCCGUGACGUUAACAACAGAAGAAGCACCGGCUAACUCCGUGCCAGCAGCCGCGGUAAUACGGAGGGUGCGAGCGUUAAUCGGAAUUACUGGGCGUAAAGCGCACGCAGGCGGUUUGUUAAGCUAGAUGUGAAAGCCCCGGGCUCAACCUGGGAUGGUCAUUUAGAACUGGCAGACUAGAGUCUUGGAGAGGGGAGUGGAAUUCCAGGUGUAGCGGUGAAAUGCGUAGAUAUCUGGAGGAACAUCAGUGGCGAAGGCGACUCCCUGGCCAAAGACUGACGCUCAUGUGCGAAAGUGUGGGUAGCGAACAGGAUUAGAUACCCUGGUAGUCCACACCGUAAACGCUGUCUACUAGCUGUGUGUGUCUUUAAGACGUGCGUAGCGAAGCUAACGCGCUAAGUAGACCGCCUGGGGAGUACGGCCGCAAGGUUAAAACUCAAAUG
Molecule: ribosomal RNA, 536 nt
Filed under: Alteromonas sp.
Lineage: Bacteria; Pseudomonadati; Pseudomonadota; Gammaproteobacteria; Alteromonadales; Alteromonadaceae
Description: bacterial SSU rRNA
Rfam family: Bacterial small subunit ribosomal RNA
Source: RNAcentral